AAAAAACAAGAGGUGCACAAUAUUCCUUGUAAACAAAAAGCGGAGGUAAAAUAUCAACCGAGAGCUUGGAUUCGGUAGGGAAACACGUUGGCAUCCUGCUCCUGCCGCCGUCGCCGUCCGAGUCAGCAGGAAAUCUAGAGAAAAUUCAGCUGCCGUCAGAUGGGGGAAAUCUUGUUGAAACAGUUGCAGUUCCAGCCAUCCAGGGGCUUCGCCUCCUGGCCAGUCGCCGGUCUCCUCUCCGAGUCCAACAAACACCUCGGGAGCACGGCGAUUUCCCUGCCGCAAGCCAACAAAAGCUCCCCUCCCUCCCUCCCUCCCACCCGCCCGCCUCGGUCGUGCCGCCGUCACACGUAUUCCUAUUCCCCGGGGGGGGACUCCCCCCGUUCAUUGGGGGGGGAGUUCCUUUCCCCUAACAAGACUCGCCAUAAAAAAUACAAACUCCCANNNNNNNNNNNNNNNNNNNNNNNNNNNNNNNNNNNNNNNNNNNNNNNNNNNNNNNNNNNNNNNNNNNNNNNNNNNNNNNNNNNNNNNNNNNNNNNNNNNNCCUAAUGAUAAAUUUGGUUUACUGCGUAUCUCUCCAGUCUCCCACCCAAUCCGCACCGGCAGCCGGCGGCGAUGAGGUGGGACGCGGCGGAGACGGAGGCGGUCCUCGAGCGGAUCUGGGACCUGCACGACCGCCUCAGCGACGCCAUCCUCGCGUCCUCACGCGCGCACCUCCUCCUGCCCCCUCCUCCCCCUCCCCCGCCCCAGCCCGCGCCGUCCGCGCCCUCCGCCAAGGGGGCCCACCUUCGCGGCGGCGGCGUCAGGAACGGGUGCGUCUUCGUCAAGGGAGGCGGAGGCUGCGGCGGACGGGACGGGGGAGAGGCGCUGGCGGCGGCCGCGGAGGCCGUGGCCGAGGCCAGGAGCCUGCACGCCAUCCGCUCCGCGCUCGAGGACCUCGAGGACCACCUCGAGUUCUUACAUGUGAGGCUCCUGCGCCCCUCCCACCCCUCUCUCCCCCCCAAUUGCUUCCCAACAGCUGUUCUAGGGUUUCGCGUUGAUUGGUAGCGUGAGUUAAUUCGGGUCUGGACCACUGCUUCUGGGUUGCAUUUGUGAUCAAUGGGGACUGCCAUUGGGAGCGCCGGGUCUCGUUGUUCCCGUGAUUUGCAUUUGGGCCAGAUUCCGGCAUGAGAAAAUUGCUAAUCCUGAUUUCCCGCUGAACACUGCCUGCAUUCCGUAUGUGGCCUCCAAUGGGAUUGGCGUUCGCCUUGAAAUCCACAAGGAACGCACUUGUUUCAUACUUGUUUGAUCCCGUACCAUGCUGUUCACACGGUAGAGAGUAGAAACCGAGCUGCUGCUGAACGAGUGUGCAGUUUACGUUGCGUGGCAUCUGCAGUGCUGUUAGUGUUUUCUCAUGAUGCUGCAUUUGCUUUUCCAUGGCUGUUCUAUUUGGAACAUUGUGCUCUGGUGAUUUUGCGUCAAAAGUGACCGGUUCUCCAGCUAAUUGAUGUGCAGGUAUGUGGGUCAUGUGAGCCAUGUGGAUAUUAAGGAUGCCGUGCCCGUUCACAUGGUUUUGCUUGCCCUUCCCGUCCCUAGAAAUAUUAGUGUCCCGUUCCAUGAUCAUUUUGUCUCUUCUUAUUAUUAAAAGGUGAUAGCAUGGAUACAUGUUUGGUGUGAUACACAGAGAUGCAGUUUCUUGUCGUCUUAAAUAAAGAUAUACUUAUUUCACUUUGUAAUCCUAACACAUAGAAAUGGAAGUAGUUCCAAGUUUGCUGUUUGUUUCAACCCAAUGAUUUUCCUAGCAUUAUUAUGCUAUCUGUGCUUGCUAAUAAAUUGUCACGUGAAGCAGAAAGCUGCAUUCUGAAUUUUGAUAAAGAUGUACACAGUAUAUACAUAUUGAUAAUGGAGUUCCUGGGCAUUUGGUUACCUUGGUUAUUUCCAUCCUAUCUUAAGAUCAGCUUCUUACCUGUGUUGUUUUUCCUCUACAGACUGUUCAAUCGCAGCAGCGGGCUGAGCGAGAUGCUGCAAUCGCUAGACUGGAGCAAAGCCGUCUAGUCCUUGCUAUGAGAUUAGCAGAGCAUCAGGGGAAGAGGUACCGAGUGAUUGACGAAGCCUUGGCGUUUGUGGGUGAAGUGAGUGACAAGAGUCGAUUUAUCUCACCAGAAGAUGUCCGUGCAACCCAGACAGAGGAUAAUGCAGAGGGAAACAGGGGCAGUGGUUCAAGGAUCAUGUCAAACGUGCUAGCAUGUAGUUUAUCCUUAGCCAAGAAUUCAUUUCGGCUGGACAAGAUUGGUGGUGCUCUAGGUAACGCUGCGGUAUUUGCAGUAAGUAUGCUUGCUUUCUUGCAGCUGCAUCAAAUUGCACUUGGAAGUAGAACUCCAGCCAUGGGAUACAGGAAGAGAAUUGAGUACAGUUUUCAAUCUGGCAGCUCACAACAGAAUGGGAAAGGGAAACAUUUGGAGGUUUACCUAGCCAGAGGCUGAGGAAUUAUUAGAUCACGCUGUUGGCUGUACAGAAAGUUUUGACCAAAGAUCAAUUUUUGUUGGUUUUGUUAGGGCACUGAUCAUUCUUUACUACGACGGGCUGGACCCUGUUCCAGGAAACUAGGGGACUGGCUGUCCGAUUCUUUUGGAUGGAUUGGAAGGAUACCACGUAUUGUACCCCCCAAAUUGUAAAUGGCUUUGUUCUUAGAGAUGGAUUGUUUGUAAACCGUGUCCUUGUUCAAGGUAACUUGAACGGUCGUGGUCUGAAGGCAAUAGCCUUCCACACCAUCUUCCCUCCACUUUCUUGCCAGUUUUGAUCAUAUCCAUUCUGCAAAAGGCAACUGCUGCUUGUGCUAUUGAGUGUGGUGUGUUCAAGGUUCUUUGCUUGUGUGAUAAGUUUCAUGUUCGUGUGGUUGCAGAUUGGGUACAUGUGGUGCUUGUGCCUAUGCUUUAAUUGGAGUACUGAUGAUGUUAUUUGCUUUCUGCUGCCUUGUGCUUGAUGAUGCUUCUUCCCUGCUUUGCUUUGUUGAUUGCUGGUCUGGUCAUAUUUGGUGCCGAAGCUGCUUUGUUUAUACGUAGCCCAACUCUUUUCUAGAUGCACCAGUAUCCAGCUUUGUUACUUUGAGCUUUGGUCUACCUGACUCACCCAUGCUGCGCCCACUGGUCGGUUGCUUUGUGUCUGUUCCGUUCACUGAAUACUGUACAGUAUAAUCUGUUGAAAAAUUGAAGUAAACACAUCCUGAUGGUCGGUGAUGCUGUUGCAUAUUCUUUUAAGGAUAGUUCUCAUGGGGUUCUGGUGAGCUCUAAUUAAAGUUGAUUUAUGCUGAUAGGAUGCCUAUUGUCAAUAACAGUACAGUGAUCUCUGUUUUUUCCCUUUAAAAACAGAGUAGGUGCAAUUUUACUAUUCAUAAUGUUCAUUCACAGUGGAUUUAUUUUAGAUGCAUUCAUCAUCGGAAUUUUUUAGGCGAGUGGUUCAAACAUGAAAAAUACUGCUACCGAAUGUGGUUGCUUAUGGGCCUAAUUAUUGUCACGAGCUUAACACAAAAUGAGCUGUCUACACACCGAUCGCCUAAGACUAAUCAUAGGAUCAAUCAUUUCCCAUUUUAUUGUGAAAAUUUGCACUCAUGUCGGGACAAAAGAGAUUUCCGUGCCUUUUUUUGUUCGCUUGCUUAUCUUUUCUCGAAUUUGGAAGCAAUAAAGUGAAAGGAAAUUCUAGAAGGAAAUAAAGAUCUUUCUCGCACUCAUUGAGCUAAAAAAAAGAACCCAUGUAAAAUAAAAGCUUAAAAGAAACCGCCUCUUUUUGACAGAUAAAGAGGGAAUAUUUGCUGCUGCCUGCGCUGAGUCCCGAGAAGUCUAAAUUAAGCUUAUGAGCAAAUUUAGACUAAAUUAAGAUAUUUAUAAGUAGGUACCUAGAACUUUGGAGAAAAGUUUGAAGUGGCCCAAUGUUCAGUUACUAGCCAAAACCCAAAAUCUCAACUGAGUGUUGUGAGUCUUUUUUCAGGAUGAGCAGGAAAGAUUGCGCCUAUGCUCGGAUUGAUCUUAUCCAUCUCUACCUGCUUUACCCAAUUUUAGAAGUUGUUUGAUGCAUCUUUGGGGCUUCUUUGGUGACCCCCAAGAAGGAAACACAUGCUGACGUAGAUUCCUCUUCAUGCACACAACAUACUUGAUCGGUGGUGAUCAGAUCUUGUCGUACGAGUUUACAGAUUUGUUGAGGCGGUUUACUUUUGCACGUGGUUAUACAGCAACAGAUGAUGACAGUGGCCGGCAUAGUUAGAAUAAUCUGAAGAGGAAUGGUCUCCACUUUCGUUGAUCAGGCCAACAUAAGCAGCUGCGUAAUGAAAGCUUUGUUUAUUUGCAUUGUUACAAAGGGACCUGCGCCAUGCCACGCUGCCUUGUCUAGAACAAAAACCAUCUCGAAAUAUGUAUUAUAGGUGUCUGAUGUCGCCAGGGAUCAUCGCGUCCAUUUCUUGGGUCGGCAAGGAGCUGGAGGCUGGAGCCCGGUAUUUGUUGUUGAACUUUAGCUUGGGCCGAGCUAGACAGGCUGUUCUUCGGCCUCAACUCGCCACGGGGGCCCUUGAGUUGUCACCGCCGGGGGGGGGGGGGGGGGGGGGGGGNNNN
This 4580-nucleotide long non-coding RNA is filed under the name Setaria italica (foxtail millet). RNAcentral's name for it is "long non-coding RNA (SITA_LNC000022)". Lineage: Eukaryota; Viridiplantae; Streptophyta; Magnoliopsida; Poales; Poaceae. The record is from RNAcentral.